This 200-nucleotide ribosomal RNA is filed under the name uncultured bacterium. Its description in RNAcentral is "partial 16S ribosomal RNA". It matches the Rfam family "Bacterial small subunit ribosomal RNA", at positions 29 to 224 of the family's 1533-position model. The record is from RNAcentral.
AGUGAACGCUGGCGGUAGGCCUAACACAUGCAAGUCGAACGGCAGCACAGGAGAGCUUGCUCUCUGGGUGGCGAGCGGCGGACGGGUGAGGAAUACAUCGGAAUCUACCUUUUCGUGGGGGAUAACGUAGGGAAACUUACGCUAAUACCGCAUACGACCGAGAGGUGAAAGUGGGGGACCGCAAGGCCUCACGCGACUAG